RNAcentral lists this ribosomal RNA (239 nucleotides) under Paenibacillus taichungensis. Its description in RNAcentral is "partial 16S ribosomal RNA". It matches the Rfam family "Bacterial small subunit ribosomal RNA", at positions 885 to 1123 of the family's 1533-position model. Lineage: Bacteria; Bacillati; Bacillota; Bacilli; Caryophanales; Paenibacillaceae. The record is from RNAcentral.
GUCGCAAGACUGAAACUCAAAGGAAUUGACGGGGACCCGCACAAGCAGUGGAGUAUGUGGUUUAAUUCGAAGCAACGCGAAGAACCUUACCAGGUCUUGACAUCCCUCUGACCGGUACAGAGAUGUAUCUUUCCUUCGGGACAGAGGAGACAGGUGGUGCAUGGUUGUCGUCAGCUCGUGUCGUGAGAUGUUGGGUUAAGUCCCGCAACGAGCGCAACCCUUGAUCUUAGUUGCCAGCA